UGGAGUUGGUCUCCCCGAUGGUGGCCAUUAAAAGCGGGAGACUCUGUGUUCUCUUCUUGUCUUUCUGUGUAUUAUCUGUUGGCGAAACUUACCGUGUAGUCCUACAUUCUAGCCUUGUGCUUAUGUAAUGUACCAUAGUAGUCCGUUGAUUAUAGGGUAGCUGUAUAUAAGCCUAACGGUAGUUAGAAUUGGUAGCCUCGUGCUCUGUUAAUUGGUAGCCAAAAAACCUGUUGCCGUUUUUUGGGCAGUUAAAAGGUUUUUACCAACUUCUCAU
RNAcentral lists this small RNA (274 nucleotides) under Oryza sativa Japonica Group (Japanese rice). Its description in RNAcentral is "Os10g0556801". Lineage: Eukaryota; Viridiplantae; Streptophyta; Magnoliopsida; Poales; Poaceae. The record is from RNAcentral.